GCGCCCAUAGCUCAACCGGAUAGAGCGUCAGUCUUCGGAACUGAAUGUUGCAGGUUCGAUCCCUGCUGGGCGCG
Omnitrophica WOR_2 bacterium GWF2_43_52 is the source of this 74-nucleotide non-coding RNA. The record is from Rfam. NCBI's taxonomy places the organism in Bacteria, Pseudomonadati, Candidatus Omnitrophota.